Chelonia mydas (Green sea turtle) is the source of this 7811-nucleotide long non-coding RNA. RefSeq lists it as uncharacterized. NCBI's taxonomy places the organism in Eukaryota, Metazoa, Chordata, Testudines, Cheloniidae. The transcript is spliced from 4 exons. The record is from RefSeq and is a predicted model, not a curated record.
GGAGGAGGGUGCCUGGUGCUCCAGGCUGGCUGCUGGGACUCUACAAGGACAAGGCCCUGAGAGAGACUGUGUAUGACUUGGCCGGUGGGCUGAGUCAGCAAGGACCCACCACAAACAGAGGGAGAGAGUGGAAGCACUCAGGCAGAGGGUGCUCACGAGAGCUCAAGCUGUUUGGAUACAAUCUGCUUCUUCACAGACUGUGCCAGCCGCAGUAACUGAUCCUCAGUUAGCUCUGAAAAAGAAGAAAUCAUGUGAGAAAAGGGUUUUUUUCUGGGCGGUAAGAGGGUAAGUGCAGAGGGUGGACAAGCCCAGGUGGAUAACCAUCAGUUGUCUGUACUCCCUUCUGAUGACCUCAAAGCACUUUAAUAAUUUGACUAAAUUAAGUUUUAAUAUCCUUGUGAGGGGGUGAGUGGUUGAAAUUACUAUUCCCAUUACGCAGAUUGGGCCGCACAGGCACAGACAAGGGAGGAAGUGGCUUGCCCAAAGUCACAGAACAAGUGGUGGCAAAACUGGAGAGUCCUGAUUCCCCCACUUCUGUUGCUUAACCACCCUUUCUCAGGUUCUUGCUGAGGUUUCAGGUCCUCUGUGUUAUAUUCUGGGUUCUCCAAUGCAUUGUGUUUCCAAGAGGGUGCCUCAAUAUGAGGAUUCUGCUAGGAUGCCAUAACGGGAUGUAAACUCCAUCACAAUGCUAUGUCUGGCAAAUGGUACACUGUAUUAGCUGGCACUGUCUGCCAAAAGCAGGUCCAAAUUCUCAGCAGACUGUACCCUGCCGUAGCCAAGAAUCUAAGGAAUGUCUGAACCAUGCGAGUUCUCCUUCAUCGUUCAUUCUGGUCUUCGUAGGCAGACUCAUUUCUUAUGUAUUGGUGUGGUUGGGUGCCCCCAUUAAAAUACCCAGAACUUAUUCUUACCACCAAGUGCUUGAAGAGUGUAGAGAACCGGCCCAGCAAGGUAAAGAUUUAUGUUUCCUGCAGAAUCCUGUAAAGUGUUUAGCAAGUCUUCCAAGUCUGGAUUCUCACUCUUUAGCUCACAUUUAUCAGCAUCUUCAAAAGCCUCUUCUAGCUGUAGGUUAGGGGGGGAAAAAAGCUUCAGGACUGAGGAUUGGGGGCUACUAAGAGAAACAAUAAUCCAGCGUGGUCAUGUGAAGUACUGAAGUAUGCAUCUGACUGUGCUGGGAGGAAAGCGGUGUUGGGUGACCACAUUUUUCCUAACCUCAGCUAUCUACUAUAGCACAACUGGGGAUUACGGGAGUUGAAUAUUCACAUUUGCUGCUGUAAGAUACAGGAUGCUGGAUGAAAUGUUCCAUUGGCAUAUUCACAUGUAGGAAUUUCGGUGUGCCUUUUAAAAUGAUACUCAUAGAAGUUAGACAAAAGAGGCCUACCAAGUAAUUCUGCCCAUCUUCCUUCCAGAGCAAGGCUGGGGUUUCGCGUUUAGUUUAUCUACUUAUAUGGCAAUGGGGACCAGAUCAGAAGGUGUUGAACUGACAGAUGGUCACAGGAUAGGAAGGACCCCUGAGUGGGGGCGGAAGGUCUUUAAACCCAUAAUGACUGAAAAAAGGAGCUUUACCUUGAGUUUGAGUUCUUGCAAGAGGUCGAUGUUUAUUAUCAUGGCUAUGAUUGAUUUUAAGAACUUGGCACGCAGAUCUGUGGACAACUGUAAGAGCUCUGCACAUUCCUUUUCAACUUCUCUCUGUAGGCCUUCCAUUCCUCCAUCUGAAAACAGCAGAGGAGAGUCAAAAUGCAGGAUUCCCUGCUUGUCCCAGUUCAAAAGGGUCAGAUAGGACUCAAAAUUUAGAUGUGGAAAACUUAGAUUUGGAAAGGCUUCUGUGAAUAUUCACAGAAUCACACAUUAGGUAAUUAAUAAUACUUUGUUCUCAGUUAAUGCCUCCUAUCCAAGGAUCUUGAUACGUUUUCUUAUUAAAGUGAAUAUUUUUCUAUGUUACAGAACUAACUUGUCCAAAGUCACAAGAUGAGUUAAUAACAGCCUAGAAUACAAUACAAAUCAUCUCAUUCUAAUUCCUUCACUGAAAAAAAGAUUAGUCCACUAAAAUAUUUCCAAGCCACAGGUUAAGGGUAGUCUAUGUGAAAUGCACAGCAGCAUAAACCAUUGCUUUGUCAAGGAAUUUUAUAUGAUGAUUGUCAGGUUUACACCACUUUACAUUAACAAGUACAGUGAGAGAUGAAAUUGUUACAUAAUGACUUCAAAUUUUUGUUUACAGACAUUCUGACGCUGCUUUCUGAUAAGUGAGAAAUAUCCAAAUCACAUGAAAGUCAACAUAAAUUGUCACUGUCUUAUAUUUGCCACUUAAACUGUGUCAAUUUUGAUUUUCAUGCUGUGGCAUCUGGUGAAAUUUCAAAUCCUGUAUAUGAGAUCUCUGUAUGAGAGAUGACAAGAAUAUACCUUGUGAGCAUGAUUCCCCACUCCUUUGAACUUUGUGUCAUCACUUACACCUGUGCAAACAACAUGUGCAUCACUGAACACCUGUUCAGAAUGUAUGUAAAACAUUUUAGUGGGUAUGAGUCAGUUCUGAAUUGGUAGCAUUUACAUCCAUUUUGCACAGGCGUUUGUGACUGUAAAGGUGAAAAAUUGGAAAGCAGUCAGGCCCUGAAACUCAGUAUACCGUCCAGAAACAAAUCUUUAUAACCUAUGUGGUGCAGACAUCAAGCUAUGGAGUAAUAUUUUUCUAGCUGGCUUGUGGAUAUUUCCAUAGUCUGUGGGUACCUUUCUGGUAGUUCAGAGUGAAAUGUUCUGAGAAUCAAGCAGUGGGAUGUCAAAAGAGGUGGGUCUGUGAGAGGAUUUCUUUGUCAUGAAGUGCUCUGCAGAGUGAAAAGUCUAGGAAAUCUAUGUAUCUCUAGGUGGCUUCCCUGAGCAAUGACUUAUAAGGUCAGAACACCCUGAAACGAUUUGUCUACAUUGUAUCCUGAUGUCCGAUGAGGAUGUUAUAAAGAGCUACCUACCUGGGGAGUAAUCAGAUUCCUCUGUUGGACCUGUGAAGGCAGAGAGGUGAAGGAAAAAUUAUGAAUUGUUGUCAACACGAAUGUGCAUUUAUCUUUACUCCACUAAAAGGACUGUGUCCGUAUAAAGGUGGAUGAGUCUUGUGGAUGAUGCUUACCCCAUGAUUCACUUUGAAUAAUGAGUGGCUUGAUUCUGAAUGCCAAGACGCAGUCCUUAGGGAUAACUAUGACUCUCUGGUUGCCUCUGGUGCCCUGGUUCAUGGAAAGAGGAGUUAGCGAGCACAAACAGCACAGAGAUGUGCUAAAAAGAGGGGGCUGUUCCCCCCCCCUGCAUUUCUUGAAUCUAGGUAGAAAUCGAACCUUUAAUGAAAAAUGGACACAGAUCUCAUUCAGAAUGCUGCCUUCUAUGGUACUGGACUUGGAAAAUGUGGUCUCCUCCAAAGCCUGUACAGCCUCAUUGAUCACGUACAAGUUCUCUCUGCGCUUCCUUAAACCCUCAAUGAAGGAAUGGUCCAUGUUGAUUUUCCUAAAAAAAGAAGUGAACUCUGCAUCACUACUGAGUUUCUUUCUGUUACUGUACAGUCUUGACACUGGCUCCCCUUAUUCUUGAAUUUGCCACUCUGGGGGCAGAGAGCAAGAUGAAAGCUGGCUUAAGUGUCCACCAGGGAAUUCCCCUGAUCUAAGCAGAAUCCCUGAGUUCACAAAGCCAUGGAAGCCUCUAUUCCAUCUCCUUUCAUAGUGCUGAUGAGAGGUGCGGCCAGGGGAAAUGAGAUGUGGCCCUGUUACAGCUAUUCUCAGCAGCUGACAUGGGCCCAUGGGCAGCAGCUGCAUAAGUUAGAGCAGUCCUUCCUUCCCCCGAUUUCUGCCAGCCUCACCUUUCUCCUUGUAGCAACAUGAGGUCUGCUGGUCUGACCUCUACUCUUUUCACCUUGAUGGACUUCCCUUGGUAGGUGCUGGCAGCUCCUGUCACUUCCGUUCUCACAAAGUCAUCAGGCAGCUUAAUAGUCCACGCUACUGUGCCAUCAAUGUAAUCCUUAACAGUGAUUGAGCGUGAAUCCUGAACAUCUGGGGUGGGGGGAAGAGAAAGCCUGCAAGAGUUAACACUUUCUCUUUGUACCACUACUAUGUAAUUAUCGCCCAUCGCUCCUGUGCACACAGGAAGGAUGAGGCCUGACAGAGUUCAGACACAAGCAGCAUAGUUCCCUAGCCAGUCACUGAAAGAAAACAGCCUCUCAAGCCCAGGAUGCUGCAGGCAAUGUUGCCACACUGGACAGGUAAAUAAUGUGGGAAGACUGGCCUUACCUGGAUUUCUGCUGUCCUGUCCAGGUACCAGAACGUCACAGAGCCUAAAUCCUGUUUUGUAGUAGCGGUGCUGAGUCCUCCAUAAUCUCUUUUUUGGUUGCCUUUGAACGAGGUUUAGGGGUCUGAAUUGAUCUUGGUCGAUAAGGCUGCAAACUGGGAUCAGAUCUCCAUCGUGAGCCAGCUGCUUUGCCAGGUCUUUGGUUACCUUGUGAAACAUCCUGCCUGCAGCCUGCUGUACCCUUUAACUGAAGCGAAAUGUACUUUUACCUUAGGAGGCAAAGACAAGUGAAGCAAACACAUCUGAAAUCAACUGGAGGUUGCAGCAAGGUAUCUUGCUCUUUGACAGCAAGUUUUACCUGCUCAGAGCUCUUAAAAACAAGCAAAAAACCUAAGGCCAUGUUGGCCAAAAUUAUGCUGAUCUAGCUUAUGCUGGCAUACAGCCAUUGUUGUUAUUAAAUCACUUGUGUGAGUGCACACUGGGAUCGUUGUGUCAGCAGUGUGUGUCCUCAACAGGAGUGCUUGCAUUGAUUGUAUUGUCAGGGGGCAACAUUGUGGGACUGCUCCUGGAGACCAGUAACAGUUGAUGUAAGCAACAGGGUCUGUAUUGACACUGUGUCCACCUAAUUAUCUUGACUGCGACUCUACGCUGCUUGGCGAGGUGGUGUUACUAAAUUGGCGUUGAGAUGCACUUACGUGGGUGGGAGCCAAAUUUAAGUGAAGACACUGCCACAGCUAGGUCGACACAUGGCAGCGUAGAAAGGCCUAAGCUCCACAAAUGGCCUGUGGGAUGGGCCACGGUUAUUACGCCCAGUUAGAGAGACGUGAUUUGCCCAAGAUCAGACACAGUGAGUCAGUUCAAGAGUUGUGAACAGGACCUACAUCUCCCAAAGUAGGUUCGUUUAAUCGUAUCCUGUCAAAUUGUAUCCUGUAUACUUUCUGAUCAGGGGCAGGGAGUGGAGCCCCCCUUAGGGAAAGUGAGCCCUUGGCUCUGCCCCGCCCCCCCCAUGACCUCUCCCCAUAGCUGGAGCCCCGAAACCCCCUUCCCCGCAGCUGGAGCCAUGAGUCCUUCCUCCCUGCCAGAGGUGCCCUGAACACCCCUCUCCCCACCGCAGUCUGCUCAGAGGAGCCGCAGGCCAGUCCCAGCCAUACCUCCCUUCCACUCCCCAAGCUGUCCCAGGGAAAAGCCUCUCAUUCUUGUCCGAAGAAGAUUUUGAUAUGCCUCAUGCAGGUUCCGGGGUGGCUGAGGAGGUGAUAUUUGCUACUCAGCUUCCUGGGUUCAUCAGUAAUCUUUCUCAAGACCUGGGAGAUUACUGGUGAACCUGGGAAACUGAAUAGCAUAUGCCGCCUCAGCCACCCGGAAUCUGCAUGGGGCAUAAUCAAAAACUUCCCCCAAAACCCUGCAACCAGGGGUUGGGCAGCACCCCAGCCCUGGCCUAUUAUACCCGCCGCCCAUGUCUCUGAUCAUGUAGAUUGUUUAGGGUCAGAGGAUGAAAUUAGUUUCUAAAGGAACUUGAUCAUUACUCCCUGCGAUGGGUGAACAAUACAAAUGAAAUUUCUUGAAUGAUAACAGAUUAGUUGAAGAGUAUUCCAGACAAUGUUGUCCUCUCCCAGUGCUGGGAUUCUAGCAGCCCACUACACCUUAUCCUUAAAAACAGCUGUCACCAGCAGGCAUUCAGCUUGAACCAUCAACAUCCAUAUUUCAUGAAAUAAAGAGCUAGAGAAGUUUCUUGCUGCAAAGAGCUUAUGAUCUAAGGAGGGCAAUAAUAAAUAAUUAGCUAUUAUGCAGGUACUUUUCAUCAGUAGAUCCAAGAGCACAAAGGUAGGUUGCUGUCACUGGCAUUUCACAGAGAGGGAAACUGAAGCAUAGAGUAGACAUUACUUGCCCAAGGUCACAGAGCGAGUCAGUGGCAGAGCUGGGGAUAGAGCCUGGAAGUUUUCACUUCUGGCAUCUUGCUCUUAACCACUAGACCCAGACCUUCCAGAGCUCGCAAUCCACAGCCCAGUGCCCUGGGGAAAGGCAGAGCAGUCAAAGAUCUGGACAACAAACACUGAUUAAUGGAUGCUGCAUAUAAUAAUUCCAAUACAGAGAUUUACAAAAUGUUUUCAAAAUGAUUCAGUAGUUUCGUUUUGGAAUUGUAGAGGGGGAGUUCACAUAACUCCCCACACAGGUUUGGAGACAGCCUGUCUAAUUCAGUGCCAGUUCCCCCAGCAUGAACAUACAGGACUGGAUGUUGUUAGCUUAGGUCAAUAAUAGGGAGCAUGGAAGCUGAGAGCUUCCCUAUCCUCACAGCUGAGAGUUAAACAUCUGGCUGGGGCAGAAAGGAAACUAGUGCCCUCCAGGCAACAUCCCUUUUCAGGUCUGUCUCAUGAGCUCACCUCUGCCCCCACUUUUCUCUGUACUUUGACCAUCAUCUGAAGUAUUAGGAUGUGGAGGGCAUAGGAAAGGACAAAGUAAUGUGAUCGUAAUUUACAGAACUAAACUUGCCCAGACAGAAGAAAGUUAUAUGCUUUUGCUCUGUGCCCAGUGAAAUUUCCCCUCACGGCUCGGAUUCAGCUCCUAUGAAGAAGGACAGAAGGGUUGCUCCUCCCCACCUUUAUACUUCAGGUUAAUACUGUCCACCCCUCCUGAAAAAAAAAUCACUGUUCUUUUCUUCCUGUGUUUUACAUAACUUGCUUUACUCAUAGCCCAUAAGUGGUGGUUCUUUUUAAAACCAAACACUCCAGGAGCAUGGAUUUGUUUAAAGAGCAGAAAGGCACUGAUUAGAAACCAAACGGGGCAGGGUCUUUUUUUUGCGCUCCAGUGUAACAAGGAAUAGCCCUCCCCCACUGGUAUUACCCUAAGCUUGCAUCAUUAUUUCAGUCUCUUGAUUAAACACUUACCACUCUGUCUGAAGACUUGGCAGGACCAGUUUGUUAGUGAUAUGAUCAGCUGUGUCUCUCCUCAUCUCAGCAUGGCCUCUGAUAGUUUCCUUUUUCAGUAGUUGAAAUAAAAAAAAAACCCUUAUUCCUCUGUACUUCCUGUGACAGUACAGGAAGUGGUUGCCUGAACCGACCUGCCGAAGUGUGGUUUUUGUUUUUUUUUUUUUGCUUUCAAUUCUGCCUCCAAGCAGCUGGUCUUCUCGUUUUUUUCCAUCUCAGCAUUUUGGCAAACUUUCUGCAAACUCCUGUUUGGCGUUGCUUGGCCUACGUCAGGCACAGAGGCUGUACUGUGGACUUGGACAACAUGCCUCCUCCAGAGUACUACAGUGCCACUUCAGGGUGUCAUCUCCAGCAGCGACAGGCCCCAGCAGCAUGCCCUGCUCGGUAUGGAGCCUUGUGAGAGAAGCAAAUGGGCGGACGUGGAGUUGUGGAUUGCAUGUUUUACACCUCAUCAGUUGUAUAUAUACAAAAUUAUGUGGACACUUUAUACUUUUGGGGCGACAUCAUAUAAGAAAGGAACCUAGACAGAUUAACUCAUCCCCUCUGCAGACUGACUCUUUAAAUGGGCAAAAACUGGGCCUCCAAUGUGAAAAUACCCAGGUUCAGAUGGCAGAGGCAGUGUGAGGGGUGUUUGCUUAU